This 218-nucleotide ribosomal RNA is filed under the name uncultured bacterium. Its description in RNAcentral is "partial 16S ribosomal RNA". It matches the Rfam family "Bacterial small subunit ribosomal RNA", at positions 114 to 334 of the family's 1533-position model. The record is from RNAcentral.
CACGUGGGUAACCUGCCUCGUAGUGGGGAAUAACUCGCCGAAAGGCGAGCUAAUACCGCAUAACACCCCCGGUGAGAUUCCGGGUGGUAAAAGCUCCGGCGCUAUGAGAGGGGCCCGCGGCCGAUUAGCUUGUUGGUGGGGUAAUGGCCUACCAAGGCGACGAUCGGUAGCUGGUCUGAGAGGAUGGUCAGCCACACGGGGACUGAGAUACGGCCCCG